RNAcentral lists this ribosomal RNA (138 nucleotides) under uncultured eukaryote. RNAcentral describes it as "partial 18S ribosomal RNA". It matches the Rfam family "Eukaryotic small subunit ribosomal RNA", at positions 1299 to 1458 of the family's 1831-position model. The record is from RNAcentral.
UGGUGGAGUGAUCUGUCUGGUUUAUUCCGAUAACGAACGAGACCUCAGCCUGCUAAAUAGUCGGCGGAUCGCUUCGAUGCGUACGACUUCUUAGAGGGACUAUUCGUAUCUAGCGAAUGGAAGUGUGAGGCAAUAACA